This 1225-nucleotide ribosomal RNA is filed under the name Staphylococcus aureus. RNAcentral's name for it is "bacterial SSU rRNA". It matches the Rfam family "Bacterial small subunit ribosomal RNA", at positions 91 to 1301 of the family's 1533-position model. The record is from RNAcentral. Lineage: Bacteria; Bacillati; Bacillota; Bacilli; Caryophanales; Staphylococcaceae.
GUUAGCGGCGGACGGGUGAGUAACACGUGGAUAACCUACCUAUAAGACUGGGAUAACUUCGGGAAACCGGAGCUAAUACCGGAUAAUAUAUUGAACCGCAUGGUUCAAUAGUGAAAGACGGUCUUGCUGUCACUUAUAGAUGGAUCCGCGCUGCAUUAGCUAGUUGGUAAGGUAACGGCUUACCAAGGCAACGAUGCAUAGCCGACCUGAGAGGGUGAUCGGCCACACUGGAACUGAGACACGGUCCAGACUCCUACGGGAGGCAGCAGUAGGGAAUCUUCCGCAAUGGGCGAAAGCCUGACGGAGCAACGCCGCGUGAGUGAUGAAGGUCUUCGGAUCGUAAAACUCUGUUAUUAGGGAAGAACAUAUGUGUAAGUAACUGUGCACAUCUUGACGGUACCUAAUCAGAAAGCCACGGCUAACUACGUGCCAGCAGCCGCGGUAAUACGUAGGUGGCAAGCGUUAUCCGGAAUUAUUGGGCGUAAAGCGCGCGUAGGCGGUUUUUUAAGUCUGAUGUGAAAGCCCACGGCUCAACCGUGGAGGGUCAUUGGAAACUGGAAAACUUGAGUGCAGAAGAGGAAAGUGGAAUUCCAUGUGUAGCGGUGAAAUGCGCAGAGAUAUGGAGGAACACCAGUGGCGAAGGCGACUUUCUGGUCUGUAACUGACGCUGAUGUGCGAAAGCGUGGGGAUCAAACAGGAUUAGAUACCCUGGUAGUCCACGCCGUAAACGAUGAGUGCUAAGUGUUAGGGGGUUUCCCGCCCCUUAGUGCUGCAGCUAACGCAUUAAGCACUCCGCCUGGGGAGUACGACCGCAAGGUUGAAACUCAAAGGAAUUGACGGGGACCCGCCCAAGCGGUGGAGCAUGUGGUUUAAUUCGAAGCAACGCGAAGAACCUUACCAAAUCUUGACAUCCUUUGACACCUCUAGAGAUAGAGCUUUCCCCUUCGGGGGACAAAGUGACAGGUGGUGCAUGGUUGUCGUCAGCUCGUGUCGUGAGAUGUUGGGUUAAGUCCCGCAACGAGCGCAACCCUUAAGCUUAGUUGCCAUCAUUAAGUUGGGCACUCUAAGUUGACUGCCGGUGACAAACCGGAGGAAGGUGGGGAUGACGUCAAAUCAUCAUGCCCCUUAUGAUUUGGGCUACACACGUGCUACAAUGGACAAUACAAAGGGCAGCGAAACCGCGAGGUCAAGCAAAUCCCAUAAAGUUGUUCUCAGUUCGGAUUGU